Molecule: ribosomal RNA, 484 nt
Filed under: uncultured bacterium
Lineage: Bacteria
Description: bacterial SSU rRNA
Rfam family: Bacterial small subunit ribosomal RNA
Source: RNAcentral
AUUGAACGCUGGCGGCAUGCCUUACACAUGCAAGUCGAACGGCAGCACGGGAGCAAUCCUGGUGGCGAGUGGCGAACGGGUGAGUAAUAUAUCGGAACGUGCCCAGUCGUGGGGGAUAACGUAGCGAAAGCUACGCUAAUACCGCAUACGAUCUACGGAUGAAAGCGGGGGAUCGCAAGACCUCGCGCGAUUGGAGCGGCCGAUAUCAGAUUAGCUAGUUGGUGGGGUAAAAGCUCACCAAGGCGACGAUCUGUAGCUGGUCUGAGAGGACGACCAGCCACACUGGAACUGAGACACGGUCCAGACUCCUACGGGAGGCAGCAGUGGGGAAUUUUGGACAAUGGGCGCAAGCCUGAUCCAGCCAUUCCGCGUGCAGGAUGAAGGCCUUCGGGUUGUAAACUGCUUUUGUACGGAACGAAACGGCGAGCUCUAAUACAGUUUGCUAAUGACGGUACCGUAAGAAUAAGCACCGGCUAACUACGUG